This is a non-coding RNA of Podarcis lilfordi (Lilford's wall lizard), 78 nucleotides long. NCBI's taxonomy places the organism in Eukaryota, Metazoa, Chordata, Lepidosauria, Squamata, Lacertidae. The record is from the annotation of a GenBank genome assembly.
AGCCACUGUUUCAGCUCAGCUGGUUGCAGCAAGGCACUGGCAAUGCCAAGGUUGUGGGUUCGAUUCCCAUAUGGGCCA